Molecule: long non-coding RNA, 769 nt
Filed under: Capsicum annuum
Lineage: Eukaryota; Viridiplantae; Streptophyta; Magnoliopsida; Solanales; Solanaceae
Description: long non-coding RNA (CANN_LNC008792)
Source: RNAcentral
GGCCCAUCUAAUUUUUGACCUCUACUCCAAAGCUUAUAAUAGUUUAUGGAGUACACUUUCCAUUUACCUCUCUGCCUUUCCAUUGUCUUCACUAAUCCCAAGAUAUUUUUCGUUUACUUCCACCUGAAUCGCCACUUUCGUUUGCUCCUUCUUUGGGUCAUCAACAAACCCCUAUGUUCAUCAUUCUCACACAAGGAUCUUCACUGUGCCAAGGUAAUCGUUGUGUUCUCCUUUUUCUAUUCCUUUUUUUCCUUACUUGGCUAAUAGUUUCCUCUUGAUAAGGUGUUUGGAGUUUGUCCACCUCAGAUUGGAUUUGAAGGAGGUAGUCGUCCGGAGUCCACAACUCUCCCAUCUAUAAGUACCGCAUGACUCCUUUCUUCAUCCCUCAUUUUCGUAGCCUUAUAACCCUAACAACCUUUUCGUGUACCUUUGCUAGCCGUAUCAUGGAAUGGACUACCCUUCGCCUGUACAAGAUAGGAAAUGUAGCUAACCUUCAAUGAAAUAAGUCAGAUUUGACACCCACCCCAUUUGUUUUGGUAAAAAAUUUUGUGUGCUAACAUAGUUUAGCAAAACUUGUAUAGCUGCCUUUAUGUCCCUGUGAAUCGGGCAUACUCUUAUGUUAAUAUUUGUGUUGCUUUCCUUAUGCAUGUUCCUCGUAGCUCUUUCAAUUAUGUGACUCUGCUUCCACUAUAAUCUCAUGCUGGUGCCUUUAUUUUCCUUUUGCUUAUUUUAAUUAUCGAUAUUUGAAAUUUAUUUGUGUUUAACACAG